This 492-nucleotide ribosomal RNA is filed under the name uncultured bacterium. RNAcentral's name for it is "partial 16S ribosomal RNA". It matches the Rfam family "Bacterial small subunit ribosomal RNA", at positions 29 to 507 of the family's 1533-position model. The record is from RNAcentral.
AGUGAACGCUGGCGGUAGGCCUAACACAUGCAAGUCGAACGGCAGCACAGUAAGAGCUUGCUCUUACGGGUGGCGAGUGGCGGACGGGUGAGGAAUACAUCGGGAUCUACUUUUUCGUGGGGGAUAACGUAGGGAAACUUACGCUGAUACCGCAUACGACCUACGGGUGAAAGCAGGGGAUCUUCGGACCUUGCGCGAUUGAAUGAGCCGAUGUCGGAUUAGCUAGUUGGCGGGGUAAAGGCCCACCAAGGCGACGAUCCGUAGCUGGUCUGAGAGGAUGAUCAGCCACACUGGAACUGAGACACGGUCCAGACUCCUACGGGAGGCAGCAGUGGGGAAUAUUGGACAAUGGGCGCAAGCCUGAUCCAGCCAUACCGCGUGGGUGAAGAAGGCCUUCGGGUUGUAAAGCCCUUUUGUUGGGAAAGAAAAGCAGCAGGUUAAUACCCCGCUGUUCUGACGGUACCCAAAGAAUAAGCACCGGCUAACUUCGUG